AGGAUGAACGCUGGCGGCGUGCCUAACACAUGCAAGUCGAACGUCCUGUCUCGCAAGAGGCAGGGAGUGGCGGACGGGUGAGUACCACGUGGGUCAUCUACCGUGAGGUGAGGAAUACCGGCGAGAAAUCGCCGACAAGACCGCAUAGCCUCGGUGCAAGCCGAGGAAAGCUCUUUCGAGAGAGGGAGCGCCACACGAGGAGCCUGCGCCCGAUUAGCUAGCUGGUGGAGUAACGGUUCACCAGGGCGACGAUCGGUAGCUGGUCUGAGAGGACGAUCAGCCACACUGGGAUUGAGAACGGCCCAGACUCCUACGGGGGGCAGCAGUGAGGAAUUUUCGUCAAUGGGGCAACCCUGAACGAGCAACGCCGCGUGCAGGAAGAAGGUUUUCGGAUCGUAAACUGCUUUUCGUCGGGGAAGAGAACGGACGGUACCCGAGGAAUCAGCCCCGGCUAACUACGCGCCAGCAGCCGCGGUAA
Molecule: ribosomal RNA, 478 nt
Filed under: uncultured bacterium
Lineage: Bacteria
Description: SSU rRNA
Rfam family: Bacterial small subunit ribosomal RNA
Source: RNAcentral